This 800-nucleotide ribosomal RNA is filed under the name uncultured archaeon. RNAcentral's name for it is "bacterial SSU rRNA". It matches the Rfam family "Archaeal small subunit ribosomal RNA", at positions 1 to 779 of the family's 1478-position model. The record is from RNAcentral.
UUCCGGUUGAUCCUGCCGGACCCUAUUGCUAUCGGGGUGAGACUAAGCCAUGCAAGUUGAGCGCUCCCUAGCUACGUUGGGAGAGCAGCAAACAGCUCCGUAACACGUAGUUAAUCUACCCUUAGGACGGGCAUAACCCUGGGAAACUGGGGCUAAUAUCCGAUAGAUGGAAACGCCUGGAAUGGUUUUCCACCGAAAGGUUCUUGGGAACAUGCUUCCAAAAACGCCUUAGGAUGAGACUGCGGCCGAUCAGGCUGUUGGCGAGGCAACGGCUCACCAAGCCUAUAACCGGUACGGGCCGUGAGAGCGGUAGCCCGGAGAUGGGUACUGAGACAAGGACCCAGGCCCUACGGGGCGCAGCAGUUGCGAAAACUCCGCAAUGCGCGAAAGCGUGACGGGGCUACCCCGAGUGCCGCCCGUUGAGGGCGGCUUUUCCGUGGUGUAAGGAGCCGUGGGAAUAAGGAGAGGGCAAGACUGGUGUCAGCCGCCGCGGUAAUACCAGCUCUCCGAGUGGUGGGGACGAUUAUUGGGCUUAAAGCGUUCGUAGCCGGCUUAACAAGUCUUCCGGUAAAUCCAACGACCUAAUCGUUGGGCUGCGGGAGAUACUGUUGGGCUAGGAGGCGGGAGAAGCCGACGGUAUUCUCGGGGUAGGGGUGAAAUCCUGUAAUCCCGGGAGGACCACCAGUGGCGAAAGCGGUCGGCUAGAACGCGCUCGACGUGAGGGACGAAAGCUGGGGGAGCGAACCGGAUUAGAAACCCGGGUAGUCCCAGCUGUAAACGAUGCGGCUAGUGUGGGGUGG